This 253-nucleotide ribosomal RNA is filed under the name uncultured bacterium. RNAcentral describes it as "partial 16S ribosomal RNA". It matches the Rfam family "Bacterial small subunit ribosomal RNA", at positions 524 to 776 of the family's 1533-position model. The record is from RNAcentral.
UACGUAGGGUGCAAGCGUUGUCCGGAAUUAUUGGGCGUAAAGAGCUCGUAGGCGGUUUGUUGCGUCGGCUGUGAAGUCCCGAGGCUCAACCUCGGGUCUGCAGUCGAUACGAGCAAACUAGAGUGUUGCAGGGGAGACUGGAAUUCCUGGUGUAGCGGUGAAAUGCGCAGAUAUCAGGAGGAACACCGGUGGCGAAGGCGGGUCUCUGGGCAACAACUGACGCUGAGGAGCGAAAGCGUGGGGAGCGAACAGG